UACGUAGGGUGCGAGCGUUAAUCGGAUUCACUGGGCGUAAAGGGUGCGCAGGUGGGUUGGCAAGUUUGAUGUGAAAGCCCCGGGCUUAACCCGGGAAUGGCAUUGAAUACUGCUGAUCUGGAGGAUCGGAGGGGGGACUGGAAUUCUUGGUGUAGCAGUGAAAUGCGUAGAUAUCAAGAGGAACACCAGUGGCGAAGGCGAGUCCCUGGACGAUACCUGACACUGAGGCACGAAAGCCAAGGGAGCAAACAGG
This 253-nucleotide ribosomal RNA is filed under the name uncultured prokaryote. RNAcentral's name for it is "partial 16S ribosomal RNA". It matches the Rfam family "Bacterial small subunit ribosomal RNA", at positions 524 to 776 of the family's 1533-position model. The record is from RNAcentral.